Molecule: transfer RNA, 69 nt
Filed under: Panthera pardus (leopard)
Lineage: Eukaryota; Metazoa; Chordata; Mammalia; Carnivora; Felidae
Description: tRNA-Trp
Source: RNAcentral
AGAAGUUUAGGUUAAACUAGACCAAGAGCCUUCAAAGCUCUAAGUAAGUCCUAAUAGACUUAACUUCUG